UUUAAUUAAGAGUUUGAUCCUGGCUCAGGACGAACGCUGGCGGCACGCUUAACACAUGCAAGUCGAACGAGAGAAGAGAAGCUUGCUUUUCUGAUCUAGUGGCGGACGGGUGAGUAACACGUGAGCAAUCUGCCUUUCAGAGGGGGAUACCGAUUGGAAACGAUCGUUAAUACCGCAUAAUAUAAUUGAACCGCAUGAUUUGAUUAUCAAAGAUUUAUCGCUGAAAGAUGAGCUCGCGUCUGAUUAGCUAGUUGGUAAGGUAACGGCCUACCAAGCGACGAUCAGUAGCCGGACUGAGAGGUUGAUCGGCCACAUUGGGACUGAGACACGGCCCAGACUCCUACGGGAGGCAGCAGUGGGGAAUAUUGCACAAUGGAGGAAACUCUGAUGCAGCGAUGCCGCGUGAGGGAAGAAGGUUUUAGGAUUGUAAACCUCUGUCUUCAGGGACGAAAAAAGACGGUACCUGAGGAGGAAGCUCCGGCUAACUACGUGCCAGCAGCCGCGGUAAUACGUAGGGAGCGAGCGUUGUCCGGAAUUACUGGGUGUAAAGGGAGCGUAGGCGGGAUCGCAAGUCAGAUGUGAAAACUAUGGGCUUAACCCAUAAACUGCAUUUGAAACUGUGGUUCUUGAGUGAAGUAGAGGUAAGCGGAAUUCCUAGUGUAGCGGUGAAAUGCGUAGAUAUUAGGAGGAACAUCAGUGGCGAAGGCGGCUUACUGGGCUUUAACUGACGCUGAGGCUCGAAAGCGUGGGGAGCAAACAGGAUUAGAUACCCUGGUAGUCCACGCCGUAAACGAUGAUUACUAGGUGUGGGGGGACUGACCCCUUCCGUGCCGCAGCAAACGCAAUAAGUAAUCCACCUGGGGAGUACGACCGCAAGGUUGAAACUCAAAGGAAUUGACGGGGGCCCGCACAAGCAGUGGAGUAUGUGGAUUAAUUCGAAGCAACGCGAAGAACCUUACCAGGUCUUGACAUCGUAUGCAUAGCUCAGAGAUGAGUGAAAUCUCUUCGGAGACAUAUAGACAGGUGGUGCAUGGUUGUCGUCAGCUCGUGUCGUGAGAUGUUGGGUUAAGUCCCGCAACGAGCGCAACCCUUACUGUUAGUUGCUACGCAAGAGCACUCUAGCAGGACUGCCGUUGACAAAACGGAGGAAGGUGGGGAUGACGUCAAAUCAUCAUGCCCCUUAUGACCUGGGCCUCACACGUACUACAAUGGCUGUCAACAGAGGGAAGCAAAGCCGCGAGGUGGAGCGAACCCCUAAAAGCAGUCUUAGUUCGGAUUGUAGGCUGCAACCCGCCUACAUGAAGUCGGAAUUGCUAGUAAUCGCAGAUCAGCAUGCUGCGGUGAAUACGUUCCCGGGCCUUGUACACACCGCCCGUCACGCCAUGGGAGUCGGUAACACCCGAAGCCUGUAGUCUAACCGUAAGGAGGACGCAGUCGAAGGUGGGAUUGAUGACUGGGGUGAAGUCGUAACAAGGUAGCCGUAUCGGAAGGUGCGGCUGGAUCACCUCCUUUCUA
Molecule: ribosomal RNA, 1515 nt
Filed under: Ruminococcus sp. AM31-15AC
Lineage: Bacteria; Bacillati; Bacillota; Clostridia; Eubacteriales; Oscillospiraceae
Description: bacterial SSU rRNA
Rfam family: Bacterial small subunit ribosomal RNA
Source: RNAcentral